CUCGCCAGGGGACUACAAGCCCAAGCUUAAAACCCAAAGGACUUGGCGGUGCUUUAGACCCACCUAGAGGAGCCUGUUCUAGAACCGAUAAUCCCCGUUCAACCUCACCCUCCCUUGCUUAUCCCGCCUAUAUACCGCCGUCGUCAGCUUACCCUAUGAAGGAUCAACAGUAAGCAAAAUUGGCAUAGCCUAAAACGUCAGGUCGAGGUGUAGCGUAUGAGAGGGAAAGAAAUGGGCUACAUUUACUGAAACAGUAAAUCACGGAAGAUGAAAUGAAAUAAGCAUCCAAAGGAGGAUUUAGCAGUAAGAGAAAAAUAGAGUGUCUCUCUGAAACUGGCCCUGAAGCGCGCACACACCGCCCGUCACUCUCCCCGGCUAAAAUAAAUAAAAUAAAUAAAAAAAUAUACCUGCAAAGGGGAGGCAAGUCGUAACAUGGUAAGUGUACCGGAAGGUGUACUUGGAAAAAU
RNAcentral lists this ribosomal RNA (467 nucleotides) under Butis koilomatodon (mud sleeper). Its description in RNAcentral is "partial 12S ribosomal RNA". It matches the Rfam family "Bacterial small subunit ribosomal RNA", at positions 868 to 1533 of the family's 1533-position model. Lineage: Eukaryota; Metazoa; Chordata; Actinopteri; Gobiiformes; Eleotridae. The record is from RNAcentral.